Molecule: unclassified non-coding RNA, 224 nt
Filed under: plant metagenome
Description: partial contains small subunit ribosomal RNA, internal transcribed spacer 1, and 5.8S ribosomal RNA
Source: RNAcentral
UCUCCGUUGGUGAACCAGCGGAGGGAUCAUUACAGGACUCGCAAGACUCCUUCACCCUGUGAACCUCACUACAAGCACGUUGCUUCGGCGGGUGUCCCGGCGGGGGUUUUCCCUCGCCGGGGCGCACAGCCCGCCGGCAGCCUACUAUACCCUGUCUCUUUGCGUUGGCAUCUCGAGAAAAAACAAACAAGUUAAAACUUUCAACAACGGAUCUCUUGGUUCUG